GACAAACGCUGGCGGCGUGCCUAACACAUGCAAGUCGAACGGAGACAAUAGCAAUGUUGUCUUAGUGGCGGACGGGUGAGUAAUGCGUGAGCAACCUGCCUUUCAGAGGGGGACAACAGUUGGAAACGACUGCUAAUACCGCAUAAUGUAUAUUCAAGGCAUCUUGAAGAUACCAAAGAUUUAUCGCUGAAAGAUGGGCUCACGUCUGAUUAGCUAGUUGGUGAGGUAACGGCUCACCAAGGCUGCGAUCAGUAGCCGGACUGAGAGGUUGAACGGCCACAUUGGGACUGAGAUACGGCCCAGACUCCUACGGGAGGCAGCAGUGGGGAAUAUUGGGCAAUGGGGGAAACCCUGACCCAGCAACGCCGCGUGAAGGAAGAAGGCUUUCGGGUUGUAAACUUCUUUUACCAGGGACGAAACAAAUGACGGUACCUGGAGAAUAAGCCACGGCUAACUACGUG
This 461-nucleotide ribosomal RNA is filed under the name uncultured organism. RNAcentral describes it as "bacterial SSU rRNA". It matches the Rfam family "Bacterial small subunit ribosomal RNA", at positions 28 to 507 of the family's 1533-position model. The record is from RNAcentral.